AGAAAAAAAGAAGCAAAAAU
RNAcentral lists this small RNA (20 nucleotides) under Arabidopsis thaliana (thale cress). RNAcentral's name for it is "ATSL063860". Lineage: Eukaryota; Viridiplantae; Streptophyta; Magnoliopsida; Brassicales; Brassicaceae. The record is from RNAcentral.